UGCAGUCGGGCGGUAACAGGGGAAGCUUGCUUCCCGCUGACGAGCGGCGGACGGGUGAGUAACGCAUAGGAAUCUGCCUGGUAGUGGGGGAUAGCCCAGAGAAAUUUGGAUUAAUACCGCAUACGCCCUACGGGGGAAAGCAGGGGACUCUUCGGGGCCUUGCGCUAUCAGAUGAGCCUAUGUCGGAUUAGCUUGUUGGUGAGGUAACGGCUCACCAAGGCGACGAUCCGUAGCUGGUCUGAGAGGAUGAUCAGCCACACUGGGACUGAGACACGGCCCAGACUCCUACGGGAGGCAGCAGUGGGGAAUAUUGGACAAUGGGCGAAAGCCUGAUCCAGCCAUGCCGCGUGUGUGAAGAAGGUCUUCGGAUUGUAAAGCACUUUAAGUUGGGAGGAAGGGCAGUAAGCGAAUACCUUGCUGUUUUGACGUUACCGACAGAAUAAGCACCGGCUAACUCUGUGCCAGCAGCCGCGGUAAUACAGAGGGUGCAAGCGUUAAUCGGAAUUACUGGGCGUAAAGCGCGCGUAGGUGGUUCGUUAAGUUGGAUGUGAAAUCCCCGGGCUCAACCUGGGAACUGCAUCCAAAACUGGCGAGCUAGAGUAGGGCAGAGGGUGGUGGAAUUUCCUGUGUAGCGGUGAAAUGCGUAGAUAUAGGAAGGAACACCAGUGGCGAANGCGACCACCUGGGCUCAUACUGACACUGAGGUGCGAAAGCGUGGGGAGCAAACAGNAUUAGAUACCCUGGUAGUCCACGCCGUAAACGAUGUCAACUAGNCGUUGGAAUCCUUGANAUUUUAGUGGNNCAGCUNACGCAUUNAGUUGACCGCCUGGGGNAGUA
This 837-nucleotide ribosomal RNA is filed under the name uncultured bacterium. Its description in RNAcentral is "bacterial SSU rRNA". It matches the Rfam family "Bacterial small subunit ribosomal RNA", at positions 56 to 882 of the family's 1533-position model. The record is from RNAcentral.